Homo sapiens (human) is the source of this 5069-nucleotide RNA transcript. It is a transcript of the gene named actinin alpha 2, with no coding region annotated. NCBI's taxonomy places the organism in Eukaryota, Metazoa, Chordata, Mammalia, Primates, Hominidae. The transcript is spliced from 23 exons. The record is from RefSeq and is marked reviewed.
GGAGCUGGUGCUUCGCCCGAGACCCAGCGCCCAGGCGUGUCGCCCCGAGAGGAGCCGCGCGAAGGUCACCCCGCGCCCGCCGCCCGCCGCCCGCCGCCUCCGUGGGUCCGUUUGCCAGUCAGCCCGUGCGUCCGAGCCCCUCGCGCCCCGCCGCAGCCCCGGCCAACCGAGCGCCAUGAACCAGAUAGAGCCCGGCGUGCAGUACAACUACGUGUACGACGAGGAUGAGUACAUGAUCCAGGAGGAGGAGUGGGACCGCGACCUGCUCCUGGACCCAGCCUGGGAGAAGCAGCAGAGGAAGACCUUCACUGCCUGGUGUAACUCCCACCUAAGGAAAGCCGGCACCCAGAUUGAGAACAUCGAGGAAGACUUCAGGAAUGGCCUUAAGCUCAUGCUGCUUUUGGAAGUCAUCUCAGGGGAAAGGCUGCCCAAACCUGACCGGGGAAAAAUGCGGUUCCACAAAAUUGCUAAUGUCAACAAAGCUUUGGAUUACAUAGCCAGCAAAGGGGUGAAACUGGUGUCCAUUGGCGCUGAAGAAAUUGUUGAUGGCAACGUGAAAAUGACCCUGGGUAUGAUCUGGACCAUCAUCCUUCGCUUUGCUAUUCAGGAUAUUUCGGUUGAAGAAACAUCUGCCAAAGAAGGUCUGCUGCUUUGGUGUCAGAGGAAAACUGCUCCUUAUAGAAAUGUGAACAUUCAGAACUUCCAUACUAGCUGGAAAGAUGGCCUUGGACUCUGUGCCCUCAUCCACCGACACCGGCCUGACCUCAUUGACUACUCAAAGCUUAACAAGGAUGACCCCAUAGGAAAUAUUAACCUGGCCAUGGAAAUCGCUGAGAAGCACCUGGAUAUUCCUAAAAUGUUGGAUGCUGAAGAUUUAGUAUACACUGCCAGACCCGAUGAAAGAGCCAUAAUGACUUAUGUUUCCUGUUACUAUCAUGCUUUUGCUGGUGCACAGAAGACAUCGUGAACACCCCUAAACCCGAUGAAAGAGCCAUCAUGACGUACGUCUCUUGCUUCUACCACGCUUUUGCGGGCGCGGAGCAGGUUAGACAAAGUCUUAAAGCACACUCAGCUCUGUGGAAGGAUCCCCCUCCAGAAAGUUCUACAUGUUCAUAUCAGGAGAUGAGGAGGUCUUCAGUGAAUUCAAGUGCAAUGGCCGAGACAGCGGCUAACAGGAUAUGUAAGGUUCUUGCUGUGAAUCAAGAGAAUGAGAGGCUGAUGGAAGAAUAUGAGAGGCUAGCGAGUGAGCUUUUGGAAUGGAUUCGUCGCACGAUCCCCUGGCUGGAGAACCGGACUCCCGAGAAGACCAUGCAAGCCAUGCAGAAGAAGCUGGAGGACUUCCGGGAUUACCGCCGGAAGCACAAGCCACCCAAGGUGCAGGAGAAAUGCCAGCUGGAGAUCAACUUCAACACGCUGCAGACCAAGCUGCGGAUCAGCAACCGUCCUGCCUUCAUGCCCUCCGAGGGCAAGAUGGUGUCGGAUAUUGCUGGUGCCUGGCAGAGGCUGGAGCAGGCUGAGAAGGGUUACGAGGAGUGGUUGCUCAAUGAGAUUCGGAGACUGGAGCGCUUGGAACACCUGGCUGAGAAGUUCAGGCAGAAGGCCUCAACGCACGAGACUUGGGCUUAUGGCAAAGAGCAGAUCUUGCUGCAGAAGGAUUACGAGUCGGCGUCGCUGACAGAGGUGCGGGCUCUGCUGCGGAAGCACGAGGCGUUCGAGAGCGACCUGGCAGCGCACCAGGACCGCGUGGAGCAGAUCGCAGCCAUCGCGCAGGAGCUCAAUGAACUGGACUAUCACGACGCUGUGAAUGUCAAUGAUCGGUGCCAGAAAAUUUGUGACCAGUGGGACCGACUGGGAACGCUUACUCAGAAGAGGAGAGAAGCCCUAGAGAGAAUGGAGAAAUUGCUAGAAACCAUUGAUCAGCUUCACCUGGAGUUUGCCAAGAGGGCUGCUCCUUUCAACAAUUGGAUGGAGGGCGCUAUGGAGGAUCUGCAAGAUAUGUUCAUUGUCCACAGCAUUGAGGAGAUCCAGAGUCUGAUCACUGCGCAUGAGCAGUUCAAGGCCACGCUGCCCGAGGCGGACGGAGAGCGGCAGUCCAUCAUGGCCAUCCAGAACGAGGUGGAGAAGGUGAUUCAGAGCUACAACAUCAGAAUCAGCUCAAGCAACCCGUACAGCACUGUCACCAUGGAUGAGCUCCGGACCAAGUGGGACAAGGUGAAGCAACUCGUGCCCAUCCGCGAUCAAUCCCUGCAGGAGGAGCUGGCUCGCCAGCAUGCUAACGAGCGUCUGAGGCGCCAGUUUGCUGCCCAAGCCAAUGCCAUUGGGCCCUGGAUCCAGAACAAGAUGGAGGAGAUUGCCCGGAGCUCCAUCCAGAUCACAGGAGCCCUGGAAGACCAGAUGAACCAGCUGAAGCAGUAUGAGCACAACAUCAUCAACUAUAAGAACAACAUCGACAAGCUGGAGGGAGACCAUCAGCUCAUCCAGGAGGCCCUUGUCUUUGACAACAAGCACACGAACUACACGAUGGAGCACAUUCGUGUUGGAUGGGAGCUGCUGCUGACAACCAUCGCCAGAACCAUCAAUGAGGUGGAGACUCAGAUCCUGACGAGAGAUGCGAAGGGCAUCACCCAGGAGCAGAUGAAUGAGUUCAGAGCCUCCUUCAACCACUUUGACAGGAGGAAGAAUGGCCUGAUGGAUCAUGAGGAUUUCAGAGCCUGCCUGAUUUCCAUGGGUUAUGACCUGGGUGAAGCCGAAUUUGCCCGCAUUAUGACCCUGGUAGAUCCCAACGGGCAAGGCACCGUCACCUUCCAAUCCUUCAUCGACUUCAUGACUAGAGAGACGGCUGACACCGACACUGCCGAGCAGGUCAUCGCCUCCUUCCGGAUCCUGGCUUCUGAUAAGCCAUACAUCCUGGCGGAGGAGCUGCGUCGGGAGCUGCCCCCGGAUCAGGCCCAGUACUGCAUCAAGAGGAUGCCCGCCUACUCGGGCCCAGGCAGUGUGCCUGGUGCACUGGAUUACGCUGCGUUCUCUUCCGCACUCUACGGGGAGAGCGAUCUGUGAUGCUGAGCUUCUGUAAUCACUCAUCCCAUCAGAAUGCAAUAAAAGCGGAAGUCACAGUUUGUUUCCUGGAAACUUUGACAAGCUUUAUUAAGUUGAGAGAGAGAGAGGGGAAAAAAAAAAGCCUUUCGUAGUUCAGUAAUUGCCAGCAAUAUAACACGGCUAAAAUGAAGUUUUUACAGUAUAUGACAUAGUGCGCUUCAUAAAUAGGUUUAUUUCUGAGUUUUUAGCAAAAUGUAAUGAAAUAUCAGGUUGAUUUCUUUGAUUAAACAGAACAAAUUACUUGAGUAAUAGGAAAUUAGGAGGAUCUAGGGACAGAAGGAAAGUGAAAAAUGUGAAAAUACAAAAUACCCAAGAUUUAAGACCGGGGGGAAAAAACCACAAAUUGGUAAAUAAAGGUUUGCUAUUUGUAAAAAAUUUCAUUUAUCUCUAAUAUGCUUAUGUGAUUGCCCCUAGGGGAGUAUAUUUGGGAUUCUAAUGUUUUAUUUUCAUGCUUAUCCAAAGAUUACUAUUGUAUCUUCAAAUGAAUUUAAUAUUGUGAGAUGGAACUGCCGGGGAUUAAAAAGACUACCCAAAAGAUUUUUGGCACUUACAAUUUUUAAAAUAGUUUAUGUCAUCUCUUCAUUAUUUAGGGCUGGAUGGUCAACUCAGUCAGUGAUUUUUUGAUGCUUCUCUUAUCCUCCAGAAUAGAGACCUAAGGACACGUGGAAGUCAGUUUAAUUGCCAGAGAGAAGGAUGCAAUCACUAGGUAAAAUGAGGUUUUUAGGAUUAUUUAUUGAUUCCAGGUUCCCAUGCUUUUUGUUAGAGCUUAUUAGUACAGGUUCUCAAGAGAUGACCACAUAAAAGUGCUCUGUUUAUAAAUAAGCAGGUUUCUGUAGUACUGACUGGUUCAUCACAAGGCAAGUCAGAAACCAGUAUCCUUCUAGCUCUCCAGUCAGGACUUCCUUAUGCCUCUAGUUUUAUGACCGGUUAAGGAGAAGCCAGAGUUAGAGUAGGAGAGGACUAAUUCUCAGCAGCAGUGGAGGUGAGUUCUUUCUUUUGCGGAAGCUUUACAUAUGUUUUGUGUAGUAGGAAUAACUAGAUAUUUUAGCUAGUGUGCGGUGUGUGUUCACCCCUGGGAUUGGACAGUGUAUCCUAACAAGUCCCAUGUCUGGUUCUGUGUCUAAAGGCCUGCUCCAUGACACAGGAUGCUACAUGCACUCCUGCUAGCACAUCUUGAUCUGUUGAAUGUUCAUUCUUUCUUUUUGCUCAUACUGCUGUAGGCUAUAAUUCCCCCCUGUUUUUCCAUCUUGUUGACAGCUUGUAGAGAAUAAAGCAGGAAUUCUUUUUAUAUCUGAGUCCUUAAUGAUCAGGAAAUGGAUUACAAACAAACAAAAACAGUUGCAAACAGCAAUUAAAGCAUUACUAGAGAAGCAGUAACAUGUCUGUUACCUACAGUCUGUUUGCUCAGAUUUUUAUAGAUUUCCACCAACAGCUGGAAAUGUAAUAUUUCCAUUCCAAGCUGUCUGACAGCUUGACUCUUCUUCCUACACUGGGCCAUUUAGAACCUUCAACCUUUAUGAAUUUCACUUAAUUUGCUUCAUUAUUAAGUAAUUGGUAGUUUCCAGAUUCCUGAAAUAUUUGAAUCCUUGAGUUUAAUGCCAAACACUUUUGGGGUGGUUUAGAUGAACUCUGACUCUAUUUUAUUUCAAGUAGGUGCUAUAUCCCGGCCAUAAACCCCUAUAGAAAAGCCAGAAAGUUGUGCUUCCUUUGAGGCUAUUAGGGGGCUCUGUGGUGUUUUAGGAUGGGUGUGGGUAACUCAUCUACCUAAACUUUUAAUUUCUUUACAACAUUCAGCAAGAGAGGGGGUCAGUAGUCUCUAUCUGCUAAUAAAUGAAGAAAGGAAGUAAACUCUGAAAAAUAAUAAACAUGUUUAUACUCUCAUUUUAGGUAUUAUUUUUAUUUCUGAAGCUGGAUGCUCAAAAAUUAAAACGUUUAUAAGUUUCUAAAUUAAACUUAAUUUAUAAAAGAAAAAA